AACACUGUUAACCUGCGGUACCUGCGGAGGGAUCAUUAUUGAAUAAACUUGGUCAAGCUGUUGCUGGUCCUUCGGGACAUGUGCACGCUUGCCACCAAUUUUAGCCACCUGUGCACUUUUUGUAGACUUGGAAACGUUUCUCGAGGCAACUCGGAUUGAGAACUGCUGGCGCAAGUCGGCUUUUCUUAUGUUUUCUCAGUCUAUGUUUUCAUAUACACCUAAUGUAUGUAUCAGAAUGUA
Molecule: unclassified non-coding RNA, 240 nt
Filed under: soil metagenome
Description: partial contains 5.8S ribosomal RNA, internal transcribed spacer 2, and large subunit ribosomal RNA
Source: RNAcentral